This 253-nucleotide ribosomal RNA is filed under the name uncultured bacterium. RNAcentral's name for it is "partial 16S ribosomal RNA". It matches the Rfam family "Bacterial small subunit ribosomal RNA", at positions 524 to 776 of the family's 1533-position model. The record is from RNAcentral.
UACGUAGGGUGCAGGCGUUAAUCGGAAUUACUGGGCGUAAAGCGUGCGCAGGCGGUCUUUUAAGUCAGAUGUGAAAUCCCCGGGCUCAACCUGGGAACUGCAUUUGUGACUGCAUGGCUGGAGUGCGGCAGAGGGGGAUGGAAUUCCGCGUGUAGCAGUGAAAUGCGUAGAUAUGCGGAGGAACACCGAUGGCGAAGGCAAUCCCCUGGGCCUGCACUGACGCUCAUGCACGAAAGCGUGGGGAGCAAACAGG